RNAcentral lists this ribosomal RNA (541 nucleotides) under uncultured Cortinarius. Its description in RNAcentral is "eukaryotic LSU rRNA". The stretch from base 138 to 291 matches the Rfam family "5.8S ribosomal RNA". Lineage: Eukaryota; Fungi; Basidiomycota; Agaricomycetes; Agaricales; Cortinariaceae. The record is from RNAcentral.
GCUCUCUGGGAGCAAGUGCACGCCUUGUCAUCUUUAUAUCUCCACCUGUGCACUUUUUGUAGACCUUUUCAGGUCUAUGUUGCUUCAUUUUACCCCAAUGUAUGUCUAUAGAAUGUUGUGCCUAUGAUAAUAUAUACAACUUUCAGCAACGGAUCUCUUGGCUCUCGCAUCGAUGAAGAACGCAGCGAAAUGCGAUAAGUAAUGUGAAUUGCAGAAUUCAGUGAAUCAUCGAAUCUUUGAACGCACCUUGCGCUCCUUGGUAUUCCGAGGAGCAUGCCUGUUUGAGUGUCAUUAAUAUAAUCAACCUUCAACUUGUUUGAGUGGUUUGGAUGUGGGGGUUUGCUGGCCUUUCAAAAGGUUUCAGCUCCUCUGAAAUGCAUUAGCAGAACAAACCUUGUUCAUUGGUGUGAUAACUAUCUACGCUUAUGAAUGUGAGGGGCAGUUCAGCUUUCUAAUCGUCUUUGGACAAUUCAUCAUUAAUGUGACCUCAAAUCAGGUAGGACUACCCGCUGAACUUAAGCAUAUCAAUAGCGGGAGGGGA